RNAcentral lists this ribosomal RNA (810 nucleotides) under uncultured bacterium. RNAcentral's name for it is "bacterial SSU rRNA". It matches the Rfam family "Bacterial small subunit ribosomal RNA", at positions 8 to 796 of the family's 1533-position model. The record is from RNAcentral.
AGAGUUUGAUCAUGGCUCAGAACGAACGCUGGCGGCGUGGAUAAGACAUGCAAGUCGGACGAGAUUUUUCGUUGUAGCAAUACGAUGGAAAGUCUAGUGGCGAACGGGUGCUUAACACGUGGGCAACCUGCCGAGAAGUGGGGGAUAGCUCGCCGAAAGGCGAAUUAAUACCGCAUGUGAUUAGAGUGGACAUCCAUUCGAAAUUAAAGUCGGGGCAACCUGACGCUUCUUGUGGGGCCCGCGGCCUAUCAGCUAGUUGGUGAGGUAAUGGCUCACCAAGGCUUUGACGGGUAGCUGGUCUGAGAGGACGACCAGCCACACUGGGACUGAGACACGGCCCAGACACCUACGGGUGGCAGCAGUCGAGAAUUUUUCUCAAUGGGGGAAACCCUGAAGGAGCGACGCCGCGUGGAGGAUGAAGGUCUUCGGAUUGUAAACUCCUGUCAUUGGGGAACAAUGCGUGAUGGUUAACUGCCGUCGCGUUGAUAGUACCCGAAGAGGAAGAGACGGCUAACUCUGUGCCAGCAGCCGCGGUAAUACAGAGGUCUCAAGCGUUGUUCGGAUUCAUUGGGCGUAAAGGGUGCGUAGGCGGCGCGGUAAGUCGGGUGUGAAAUCUCGGAGCUUAACUCCGAAACUGCAUUCGAUACUGCCGUGCUUGAGGACUGGAGAGGAGACUGGAAUUUACGGUGUAGCGGUGAAAUGCGUAGAUAUCGUAAGGAAGACCAGUGGCGAAGGCGGGUCUCUGGACAGUUCCUGACGCUGAGGCACGAAGGUCAGGGGAGCAAACGGGAUUAGAUACCCCCGUAGUCC